UGGAGCUGACAUUCUAGGGAAAAUGGA
RNAcentral lists this non-coding RNA (27 nucleotides) under Mus musculus (house mouse). The record is from RNAcentral. Lineage: Eukaryota; Metazoa; Chordata; Mammalia; Rodentia; Muridae.